AAAGUCGUAACAAGGUUUCCGUAGGUGAACCUGCGGAAGGAUCAUUAACACGUUAUCCACGUUUCAUCAAACUCGCGAACUUAUCAGUUUUGGGUUAAUAGCGGGAGGACGACUUCUUUUUUCUCUUCUCGAAAGAGAGAGGAAAAAAGUGAACUUCCUUCUUUCCCUUAAACUGUGUGUUUUGUCAUUUUUUGACAAACCUUAAUCACCCCUUUAUAAUUUUUUCUGUUUUUUUUUGGUUCUCCAGGAACCAAGAAAAAUAAAAAAUUAUAUGUGAUUUUUAUUUUUUCUAUUAAAGAUGCUUCCUAAUGGGAGCUAAUCUUUUAAUAACUAACUCAAAACAACUCUUAGCAACGGAUAUCUUGGUUCCC
This 371-nucleotide unclassified non-coding RNA is filed under the name Glomeromycotina sp. RNAcentral describes it as "partial contains small subunit ribosomal RNA, internal transcribed spacer 1, and 5.8S ribosomal RNA". The stretch from base 1 to 47 matches the Rfam family "Eukaryotic small subunit ribosomal RNA", at positions 1785 to 1831 of the family's 1831-position model. The record is from RNAcentral. Lineage: Eukaryota; Fungi; Glomeromycota.